GACGGAGGAUGCAAGUGUUAUCCGGAAUCACUGGGCGUAAAGGGCGCGUAGGCGGCCGAUCAAGUCGGGGGUGAAAGCCUGUGGCUCAACCACAGAAUUGCCUUCGAUACUGUUUGGCUUGAGACCGGAAGAGGUUAGUGGAACUGCGAGUGUAGAGGUGAAAUUCGUAGAUAUUCGCAAGAACACCGGUGGCGAAGGCGGCCCACUGGAUCGGCACUGACGCUGAGGUGCGAAAGCGUGGGGAGCAAACAGG
Molecule: ribosomal RNA, 253 nt
Filed under: uncultured bacterium
Lineage: Bacteria
Description: partial 16S ribosomal RNA
Rfam family: Bacterial small subunit ribosomal RNA
Source: RNAcentral